This is a long non-coding RNA of Mytilus californianus (California mussel), 1510 nucleotides long. RefSeq lists it as uncharacterized. NCBI's taxonomy places the organism in Eukaryota, Metazoa, Mollusca, Bivalvia, Mytilida, Mytilidae. The record is from RefSeq and is a predicted model, not a curated record. The transcript is spliced from 4 exons.
AGGCAAUUGAAUUCACAUUUAUUUCCGGGAGUCAUAUUAUCUGCCAUGGAGGCAGAAAUCCAGAAACAAGAAGAAGUAGAACCAGCCUUUGACUAUAAGGUCAAAUCAGAGUCCACAAUGUCACAAGAAGAUAAGGCAAAACAGAAAAAAAGAGGUCGGAGAGAAAGGUCUAUCCGGAAAAUCAGACGCCUCUAAAACAUGCUGAAAACGGAACAAACGAAUCUAGCUCGAAGCCGGAGGAGAAUAAUAAAAACGACCUUCCAAACUCUAACCGAUUCACAGAGAGCAAGAAUUUCAUACAAAGCAUAGCAGACGUGUCGCUUAUGAUGGCAAAUAUUUCACAGUUGAGGGCAAAUUUGGGUUGUGGCGACAGCAAUUCAUUUUAUAUUCAUCUACUUACACUAGUUAUUCUUUCACUGGUGUCACACAUAUUUUUUGUUUUCUUCACUGUGAUUAGAUCGCAUUUUAGAUACAAACACCGUAUUGCAGUGAAAAGAGCAAAAGAGGGUGUUAAAAAAGACGAUUCAAUAAGGUAUUGCUGUUGUCUUACUGAAAAGUAUAUCCGUAAUGAAUACAACGAUAGCGAUUUGUGUCAGUGUCCACAUUGUUAUGCAGAUCUUUACCUGAAUUAUAUCUGUAAUAUUCUUGUUUUCAUAACAAUUUGUGCUAACAUUGGUAUAACAGGAAUUGGAAUUACUGGAGAAUGUUAGCCUUUUGAUUAAGUGCCAGUUUUUGUAAGAAUCAGGCAAUUUAGAAAAAUUUCAAAACAUGGCUGAAAAAAACCCACCGAGCAAUCUAUCCUAUUUUGAAGUUACUCUCAUCCUGAGUUAGAAAUGGUAGGUCUUUGUUUCUGCUGUUCUGGUAAUUCGAGAAAUCUCUAGAUAACUUUUGGUUAGAAUGAUAGCAAAUUACAGUUAUCUCCCUUUAAUUGUUAAUUUCUAGUGCAUUUCAACCAAAUUAUAUCUUGAGUUACCAGAACAGGAAGAGGAAACGAAUGUUAUAUUCGUGCACCAUGAUACAAUUUGAACAUACAUUAAUGUCAACUUGAGUGGGGUUUUUUUUGUCAUGUUUUCACCACUGCCUGAUUCUUAGGCAGAUUGGCACUUAAGAGUUUAUGUAUAUGCAAUGUUGGGAAUUGAAAUAUUUGAUAUGACUUGUUUGGCUACAAACCAAUGAAAUACUUAAAUAUUAAUUUAUGUUUCAUCCUUAUAUAAACAUGUAUAAUACAAAAGUACACAAAACACAACAAUACAUAAAUUAAUUAUAUUGUAUACCCAUUGAAUUAAAAGAAAUCCCCCUUCAAAAAUUUCGAGACAUGAAUACACUAAAAGUCAAAAUGAACAGAAUAGAAGGAAACUACGCAAAACUUUAUAUCCAAAAAGCAAAACCGCGAGCUUAAAAAACAUAUACACCUAGUAACAAUGGCAGCUGUCCAUAAUACAAUAAAAACGAAAUAAUAAUAAAUUGCACUCUUUUCUAAAUCUGAGUCAGAGUGUGUAGGAUAAUUCAA